This 105-nucleotide non-coding RNA is filed under the name Anaerolineaceae bacterium. RNAcentral's name for it is "TPP sequence". It matches the Rfam family "TPP riboswitch aptamer (THI element)". Rfam says of the family: Vitamin B(1) in its active form thiamin pyrophosphate (TPP) is an essential coenzyme that is synthesised by coupling of pyrimidine and thiazole moieties in bacteria. The record is from RNAcentral. Lineage: Bacteria; Bacillati; Chloroflexota; Anaerolineae; Anaerolineales; Anaerolineaceae.
UACAUAGCAACGGGGAGCCUUCAUUGGCUGAGAGGAGCGCAGCGCGCUCGACCCGCAUUACCUGAUCCGGAUCAUGCCGGCGGAGGGAACAUAGACGCACCCAUC